RNAcentral lists this ribosomal RNA (336 nucleotides) under Leptospiraceae bacterium. Its description in RNAcentral is "bacterial SSU rRNA". It matches the Rfam family "Bacterial small subunit ribosomal RNA", at positions 1 to 344 of the family's 1533-position model. Lineage: Bacteria; Pseudomonadati; Spirochaetota; Leptospiria; Leptospirales; Leptospiraceae. The record is from RNAcentral.
AACACGAAGAGUUUGAUCCUGGCUCAGAACUAACGCUGGCGGCGCGUCUUAAACAUGCAAGUCAAGCGGGAGUAGCAAUACUUCAGCGGCGAACGGGUGAGUAAUACGUAGAUAAUUUACCUUCAGGACUGGGAUAACUUGUCGAAAGGCAAGCUAAUACCGGAUAGUAUUAAUGUUACAAAAGUAGUGUUAAUUAAAGUGGCAACACACCUAAAGAUGAGUCUACGGCCUAUUAGCUAGAUGGUGGGGUAAUGGCCUACCAUGGCGAUGAUGGGUAGCCGGCCUGAGAGGGUGUUCGGCCACAUUGGAACUGAGACACGGUCCAGACUCCUACGG